UUCAAUUUAGGACUGUUGAGAAUGAAAAGGGGUCAGAAUUGACUAGAAUGUCUAGUUGUCUUGGUGAUUUGGCAUGUGAGCUAGCUCGGGUGGCUUGGAAUUGUUUUGAAGUUUUUGUGAUUUGUUUUGGACCUUCAAUUGGAAUGCCAAUGGAGCUCCUUGGAGUGAAAUAACCUUGUGACUUUGGACAUUUUGCAAUGUUUAUGUUGG
RNAcentral lists this long non-coding RNA (210 nucleotides) under Lathyrus oleraceus (garden pea). RNAcentral's name for it is "Pisum sativum (pea) long non-coding RNA (PSAT_LNC024854)". The record is from RNAcentral. Lineage: Eukaryota; Viridiplantae; Streptophyta; Magnoliopsida; Fabales; Fabaceae.